UUGAAAGCCUCUCGGGGCAUUGUAUUCUGAAGUCAGUUUCCUGAGUGUCGAUACUUAAGUCUUCUGGAAAGGAGCGCCAUGGAGGGUGAUAGCCCCGUACUGUAUCUAACUCAUUGUAGGAGUCUGACGUGGAGUCGAGUUGUUUGGGAAUGCAGCUCAAAAGGGUGGUAUGCUCCAUCUAAAGCUAAAUAUCUGUGAGAGACCGAUAGCGAACAAGUACUGUGAAGGAAAGAUGAAAAGAACUUUGAAAAGAGAGUGAAAUAGUACGUGAAAUUGUUGAAAUGGAAGGGUAGGCCGCUAACAAUGUAGAACCGUAUUCGGGGGGAAGAUAAAAUCUGUUGAAUGUGGCUCUUCGGAGUGUUAUAGCUUCAGACAAUAUUCCCACCUGGGUGCGAGGAUCUCAGGUUCUACUAAAUGGUGGUCUACC
This 427-nucleotide ribosomal RNA is filed under the name Starmerella camargoi. RNAcentral describes it as "eukaryotic LSU rRNA". It matches the Rfam family "Eukaryotic large subunit ribosomal RNA", at positions 124 to 646 of the family's 3401-position model. Lineage: Eukaryota; Fungi; Ascomycota; Dipodascomycetes; Dipodascales; Trichomonascaceae. The record is from RNAcentral.